RNAcentral lists this ribosomal RNA (253 nucleotides) under uncultured bacterium. Its description in RNAcentral is "partial 16S ribosomal RNA". It matches the Rfam family "Bacterial small subunit ribosomal RNA", at positions 524 to 776 of the family's 1533-position model. The record is from RNAcentral.
UACGUAGGGCGCAAGCGUUAUCCGGAAUUAUUGGGCGUAAAGAGCGUGUAGGCGGCCCGGUAAGUCCGCUGUGAAAGCCGGGGGCUCAACCCUCGAAAGCCGGUGGAUACUGUCGGGCUAGAGUGCGGAAGAGGCGAGUGGAAUUCCCGGUGUAGCGGUGAAAUGCGCAGAUAUCGGGAGGAACACCUAUGGCGAAGGCAGCACGCUGGGACGUUACUGACGCUGAGACGCGAAAGCGAGGGGAGCAAACAGG